CUGAAUGGUCUUCUGGCCUUCUACCUUUCAAACCUGUGGAAGCAACAUGUGCUUCGGUGCCCGUCGGGUGCCGCUUUUAUGCUGUAAUUGGCCUUGUGUCUGAAUCAGAAUAAACAAAUCA
Molecule: unclassified non-coding RNA, 121 nt
Filed under: uncultured Archaeorhizomyces
Lineage: Eukaryota; Fungi; Ascomycota; Archaeorhizomycetes; Archaeorhizomycetales; Archaeorhizomycetaceae
Description: sequence contains ITS1
Source: RNAcentral